Non-coding RNA from Epinephelus lanceolatus (giant grouper), 903 nucleotides. NCBI's taxonomy places the organism in Eukaryota, Metazoa, Chordata, Actinopteri, Perciformes, Serranidae. The record is from RefSeq and is a predicted model, not a curated record.
CACCUCAACCAAUCGUAGCCCUGGCUGGUGAUGAUGUCAUUCUAUCAUGUCACCUUGAUCCUCCCACCAGUGCCAGCUCCAGGACAGUGGAGUGGACCAGACCUGGGUUAUACCCAGAGUACGUCCAUGUUCACCAAGAUGGACGACUGGUGCAUCAGAGUCAGAAUCCGCUGUAUAAUUACCGCACAGUGCUGUUUGUGGAUCAGCUGAUCAACGGAAACGUCUCCCUGAAACUCCUCCUGCUUCCUUCCCUCAUUACGGAAAGAAGCUUUCAUCCAGCUUAAUGUCGCAGAGUGACUGUGGAGAAGAGACACAGCAACAGCUUCACCUGUAGAGUCCAUCAGAGGAACAUCAACCAGACCACAGAGACACACAUCCAGGUUCCAGAUGAUCUCUUUGUGGCCCCGUGUAGUUCUGCAGCCUGUAUCAGCAUCAGUUUGGUUGCUUGCUUCAUUUGUGUUGCUGCAGUUGGUUUUGCUGCGUGGAAAUGGAGACAGAACAAAAUCAAAACCAAGAUGACCUCACCAGGAGAAGCACAGCGGCUCAUGGCAGAGGAAGAACAUAAAAACAUGGUGGAUGCACUGAUGAAACAGAUGGAGGGACUGAAGGAGCAGAUAGAUAAACUGAAUAGUCAAAAGAUAAAGAUGGAGGAACUGGUUGAGGACAGUGAGACAAAGCUUCAGUCAGUGGAGAGAGAUUUAAGAGAGAAGGAUGAAGAUAAAGGAUUCAUCAGUUCACCAGGAUUCAUAAAGCUCAAAGAAAUAAUUUCUCAGAAUAAAUGGAGCCUGAAUGACAGACUGAUGGAACUUGAGACACUGGUGCUGGACACUGAGAAACUGUUGGAGAUGACAGAAGGUGUGAUUGUUAGAACAACAGAAAAGUCAGAGAACCACAUGGACAAAA